Molecule: ribosomal RNA, 443 nt
Filed under: uncultured bacterium
Lineage: Bacteria
Description: partial 16S ribosomal RNA
Rfam family: Bacterial small subunit ribosomal RNA
Source: RNAcentral
CCUACGGGAGGCAGCAGUGGGGAAUAUUGGACAAUGGGGGGAACCCUGAUCCAGCGACGCCGCGUGAGUGAAGAAGUAUCUCGGUAUGUAAAGCUCUAUCAGCAGGGAAGAAAGAAAUGACGGUACCUGACUAAGAAGCCCCGGCUAACUACGUGCCAGCAGCCGCGGUAAUACGUAGGGGGCAAGCGUUAUCCGGAUUUACUGGGUGUAAAGGAAGCGUAGACGGCUGAGCAAGUCUGAAGUGAAAGGCGGGGGCCCAACCCCCGGACUGCUUUGGAAACUGUAUAGCUAGAGUGCAGGAGAGGUAAGUGGAAUUCCUAGUGUAGCGGUGAAAUGCGUAGAGAUUAGGAGGAACACCAGUGGCGAAGGCGGCUUACUGGACUGUAACUGACGUUGAGGCUCGAAAGCGUGGGGAGCAAACAGGAUUAGAUACCCUAGUAGUC